RNAcentral lists this small nucleolar RNA (59 nucleotides) under Oryza sativa Indica Group (long-grained rice). The record is from RNAcentral. Lineage: Eukaryota; Viridiplantae; Streptophyta; Magnoliopsida; Poales; Poaceae.
CUGUAAAUAUGGUACACAUGAUAUAUAAUUGUGGAAAAGAUGCUGAAGAUGUCAACAUG